Long non-coding RNA from Phycodurus eques (leafy seadragon), 5050 nucleotides. RefSeq lists it as uncharacterized. The record is from RefSeq and is a predicted model, not a curated record. Lineage: Eukaryota; Metazoa; Chordata; Actinopteri; Syngnathiformes; Syngnathidae. The transcript has 4 exons.
GAUGCAAUGCAUACUUCGGCUUCUUACUUUCUGAGUCUCGUCUUUCUUUUCCUGUUUCAGCGUAUCUGUGAGGUUCACCAGUUUAUCCAUGGCCUCCACCUGAACACAAACAUGCAUACACCCUGUGGAUCAACCAAUCAAGGACCAAAUAGCGAAAGAAGGACCUCACCUGUCGGUUCAGGUGUUUAAGGUACAUGCCGCAGGCUCUGCAGAACGCCUCCAGCAGCAGGCCAAAGCGACGCGACACCGUCUUGUUGUGCAUCUCGGACCUGCUGACAACAAAAAUGUAUUGGUUUCACAUGUUGGCCUCACAAGUUGCCCCCCUUUUGCCUCGUCGCUCACUUGAGAUGCCAGAAAAAGAAGUGUCCAAUCCUCUGAUUGGUCAAGGCUUUCUUGAUCAGGAAACGGGCCAACGGGUUGUCCAGGUACAUCUCGUACUUCAACACCUGAAAGCAUAGUAAAAUGAUACUUCUGCUUGUGUCACAAGAACUGCAUUUUACCUUUCCCUGAGUCUGAGCAGCGAACCUGUACGAGCUGCAGCAGGUACUGAGACAGCUUGUCGUCCGUCAGACUUUGGACCAGGCAACGCAGUGCAAACUCUCUCACCAUCGGGUCGGGGAAGUUACAGUCCAGCAAUUCCAGAGCCGACUCGGACUCCAUCAGAGGCCACUCCUUCAACAGGCAGUACAUCUGGUGGUGGGGGUUCAUAUUGAAUCGCAACAGUCGGUCUUGUUAGCAGACACAAGAAGUGAGUCCAGUCUGUCUGUUCGAGAACAAUAGCAAAAGGUGGAGGUGUGAAGCCGACUGCAUGCAUGUCUGUGAGAGGAAGGUACCACCCUACCCUUUGAGACCACCUGACUGCCUUUCUGACUCGAAUUGACUUUGCCUUGACUCAGGCCUGAGCUACAGUACAUGAUACUGAUGUAACGGAGCAAGAUUGUCUGAUUUAUGACUCACUUAAUCCACUUAAAUGACUCGACUUGCCUGAAAUGUAGUGGGGAAUGGACUGGAUUUGACUUGCUUAAAACUUGAAGGUUAAAACAUGUGCCUUGCACGCUGAAUGUGUGCCUUACUCCCACGUCCCACCUUUGGAAAUUGGUUGUACAGCGCCUACCUGAGAUACUUCAUCCCUGGAAUUCCACUUGACGGAAAGAAGCAGCUUGGGAAGGGACUCUGGAAUAUUGACACAGUAAUGUCUGCAAAGGAGAGAUACCCACACAUAUAAAAUAGUAAGAUGAGCCCCUUGGUUGCGUGCGUGGAAAGUUCAGUCCUUACCGGUGUCUCCACAGGAAGUCCUUCUCUUGUUCCGAAAGUUCAUAAAGAGGAUCUUUAGAGCAGAGACUUCGAAGCUGCUCUGCGUCUGUCGCUGAAACACUGCUGUCACAGGCCAAACGACUGCUCUACAAUACAGUGAGACAGGCUCUAUCUGUAUGUCUGACUGUCCUUCUGCCAGGCCAUGUUUGUGUGUGUGUGUGUGUGUGUGUUUGUUACCAGGCCAUGUGUGUAGUUGAAGCCUAGCUCCCUGCUGAUGAUCCAGUUGGCAUGUUCUUCAAUUUGCUGCUCGUCUGGAAACACAACUGGCUGGUUGAACCAGGAGAACUCGAGUUCUACACAGGGAGACUCCUGGAGAUAAACAAGAAACGAGCAAUUGGGAGAGGUAAUCUUGGCCCCAAGGCCAGAUACAAAAACCCCAGGUGCGUACCUUGUUAGGAUUGGAACCGGCCACCCCGAUGGGGUUCAGCAGGUCCUCGAGGCCGUGAGGGACGGGCCAUAAACUGAGCGCCACUUUCCCUGAAACCAGAAUGUCCUUAUAGUCGAAGAGGUUCACGUUUCCCCAGGCCAGUGGACAGUGUUCCUGAUGGACAAAUGGACAGAGACAUUCAUUGGGUGGGUUCUCCUCUUCUCUUCUCAAACUUCCUGUUUCCUUUCCUACCUCCUUGGCUCCUUUCCUUCCCUUCACAGAGCAGAUAGACAGGCAGAGUCGGGCUGAGCGAGGCAGGUCUGCCAGGUAGAUGUCGUAGGUCAGCCAUUCGUUCCACCUAUGUGUUAUGCAGGGGUGGCAAAAGUACUCAAACUGUACUUAAGUAGAAGUCGAAGUACAGAUCCUUGUGUAAAAAAAGACUGGUAAAAGUAGAAGCACUGAUUCCACUCGUGUACCAAAGUUGCAGUAAAAAGAUCAAGUAAGUGUCGCAAGUCAGUGUUCAGUGUGACUUACCUCGGGUUGGAGCAGGGGACUCUUUGUGUGUUGACGUUGUCGCACAGUGGUUCUCCUCCAUGAUAAAUCCCCGUUCUUACGUAGAUCUACACACAUCAUUAGACAAGAGUCAGACAAAGAUGGCCUGUCUUCAAAGACAGGCAGACGGACCUUGUCGAUGUCUCGGAUGUUGACGUUGACGUAGGUGGCGCAGAGCAGUCGGACCCUCAGCCGGGUGUUGAAGGCCCAAAGCGAGCGCGGUGGAGAGCCGUCGGACCCUCCCGGACAGGGAGACGGCUGCGGAGUCCGGCGACUGAAACCCAAGCCAAAGUCUUCUACCCGGCUCUUGAUUGGUUCUCUGUUUGAGCGGCAGCCUUACCUGUAGGAAGGCGUGACGAAGCUUGAGGCGGGAAGCUGACAGUACAGACUGUCCUUGGAGACCAGCAUGAGGUGAGGAAGACGACCUACGAUGAUACAGGAGCGGAUGUACUGCGGGCAGACGGACGUCACAGAUGAGACCGUUUGUUUUUUGACCCUACUACAACAUGGACCUCAAGGUACUCGUCACAGCCACACACCUGAGGAGAUAGGCGUGUGAAUUCAGACGGCCAUGGUGAGAGUUGAGUUUCCAGGUUUACCUUCAGGAUGUACUGGCCCUGGUACUCCUGUACACAGAGGCGGAGCUGCUGAGGGGAAAGGUGCAUGGAUCUGCUCUUCUUCCUGAUGGACUCUGCUAUCAGCUGUUCAGGAAGGCUGUCGUGGCUCACCUGUACAUGCCGAGGAAAAGAGAGGAAGAAGUACAAGAAGGUCAGAUGAAGGUCAGAUGUUGGUGCUCCUGCAGACCGUAUUGGUGUUUGUGCCGCUCAAACAGCUUGCUGAGAUGCUCCAGGUAGACUUCAUGAAGCGCGUCGAUGUCCUCACUGCUCGGGUUGGGACUAGUUGCAACCGGGAUGGGCUUCCCGACUGCAAACAGACACACCGCUGAGUGGCGCGGAGAAACGGACGCGGACCUCGGGAGGGGCUCAUGUCUCGAAGGGUCGUACCGACUGCGGUCCUGUCACAGAACAACAGACUUCAUGUCCCUGCAAGACUCUUCAAGAUCCUAAAAAGUCCUACAAGUCACGUCGUAUGUGGUACUAUGGCAUCUAGACGGACCUGGAGUGUCCUGAGAGGAGAGCCGGUCGGGUUCCGAAUCUGAUCAAACAGCUCGUUUUCUCCAAAUGAAAUGACGGGAACCAGUUGAGCUCUGCGCACGUGCACAUGCGCGCGCACACAAAUAGAAAUACAGAACCUAGCGUGUCAAUGUGCUUGUGUUAACUCGCCGAGCUCCCCGACCCGCAUGCUGAAGUCACAAACCCGUGUCUCAGCGCCAGUUUGAUGAAGCCCUUCCUUUUCCGCAGCUGUAAAAAGAAGACACUUUUUUGACACGGACGUUUCGUGUCCCUACAAGUUCCAUCACAUCCCCAUAAAGUCAUCUCCUGUCAAGUCUUCUUUCGUCACUACAACAAGUCAUGUCCCUACAAGUUCCUAUAAGUCUGUUCAUGUCCCUACAAGUCAUAAGGCUAUACGUUUCUUCAUGUCCCGAAGAGGCUCUUCAUUCUCCGCCAAGUCAUGUCACCCCAGGUUUCCUACAAAUCUUCUCAUGUCCCUACAAAUGAUAAUUUCUCUACAAGUCAGGUUUGUAAAGUUCCAACAAGUCUCUUCAUAUUCCUACAAGCCUCUUUAUGUCCCUAAAAGUCCUGUUUCUACACAUUCCAAAAGUGUCUUCAUGUCCCUAAAAGAACAUUUAUUGACACAAACAAAAACCUUUCUGUUAGACGUUCAUACCUGUAACAUCAAAGCUCCCGGGCGAGCAUCCAGCGCUUCUGGAGCUCCGCCCACUGCAAUGACGGCAACGUUUCCUCCUUGAGGACGACUCAGCAGGUAGGAGAGGCCGGACUUGGAGCUUGACACCAGACCUGAGGGACACAGAGGUGCCACAUUGUUCUCUUUGUUUGCGCUUCAAACGAAUCAGAACCUCUGGAAAAUGUAGCGCAUCAGACAGACAAUCGGGAGGCGGCACCUGGUCACUGCUUCACAUGUCCCCACAAGUCUUCAUGAAACUAAUUAAGUCUAAGUCUCUUCACAAUAAUAAGUCAGACAGACAUACAGACAGGUGUGUACCUCCACACAUGAUAUAAUCUCUGAAGAUCGGCACUCGGAACCAGAAGGGAAACAUGAGCAGGUGAGACUUCAGUCCAGGAAAAAGACUGGAGAAACCCGUGGACUCAGUGCAGAAGUUACAGAACGCCCCGGUGGCCAGCACGCCUGGCGAGGCAGACGGGCGGCGAGUCAGACGGGCGAGACAGACACAGACAGGUGGACAAACCGGUACGCGUCUCACCGUGUGGAUGAAAUCCAAAUAUGUAGUUCUUGUCAGGGUCCAGGUCGACCGUUUUCACCAGCUGAAGACAAACGAGACCCGUCAAGUCUGCGUCGCGCGACACACUCGUGACUCGUUCGUGCGAGUGAAGACACCUUUACGGGAAAGUAGUCGCGGAAAUGUUCCCACACGCUCCAGCGCUGGAUCCACUGGCACCGGCGACCUCCGCGGUUGGGCGUGUCCCGGUCCAGCCACAGCCAGCCGGCGUACAGAAAUGCCACCAUCCACCAGGCGGACAGAGACAGGAGGAUGAAGGCGGCGAGACAACAUUGGGCUGAGGGACACAUGGAAGACAUGUUCAAACCAGUGUCAUCAUUGAUCAUGAUUUUCUUGCUCCCCCCAAAAAACAAGAAUUAGACACAUUGUUGUUAUUAUAGGAAUAUUUAGAGACAACCAUUUAUUAUUAUUAUUCUUUAAUAUAAUUAUAUACAGAG